Molecule: ribosomal RNA, 1548 nt
Filed under: Salmonella enterica subsp. enterica
Lineage: Bacteria; Pseudomonadati; Pseudomonadota; Gammaproteobacteria; Enterobacterales; Enterobacteriaceae
Description: bacterial SSU rRNA
Rfam family: Bacterial small subunit ribosomal RNA
Source: RNAcentral
AAGAGUUUGAUCAUGGCUCAGAUUGAACGCUGGCGGCAGGCCUAACACAUGCAAGUCGAACGGUAACAGGAAGCAGCUUGCUGCUUCGCUGACGAGUGGCGGACGGGUGAGUAAUGUCUGGGAAACUGCCUGAUGGAGGGGGAUAACUACUGGAAACGGUGGCUAAUACCGCAUAACGUCGCAAGACCAAAGAGGGGGACCUUCGGGCCUCUUGCCAUCAGAUGUGCCCAGAUGGGAUUAGCUUGUUGGUGAGGUAACGGCUCACCAAGGCGACGAUCCCUAGCUGGUCUGAGAGGAUGACCAGCCACACUGGAACUGAGACACGGUCCAGACUCCUACGGGAGGCAGCAGUGGGGAAUAUUGCACAAUGGGCGCAAGCCUGAUGCAGCCAUGCCGCGUGUAUGAAGAAGGCCUUCGGGUUGUAAAGUACUUUCAGCGGGGAGGAAGGUGUUGUGGUUAAUAACCGCAGCAAUUGACGUUACCCGCAGAAGAAGCACCGGCUAACUCCGUGCCAGCAGCCGCGGUAAUACGGAGGGUGCAAGCGUUAAUCGGAAUUACUGGGCGUAAAGCGCACGCAGGCGGUCUGUCAAGUCGGAUGUGAAAUCCCCGGGCUCAACCUGGGAACUGCAUUCGAAACUGGCAGGCUUGAGUCUUGUAGAGGGGGGUAGAAUUCCAGGUGUAGCGGUGAAAUGCGUAGAGAUCUGGAGGAAUACCGGUGGCGAAGGCGGCCCCCUGGACAAAGACUGACGCUCAGGUGCGAAAGCGUGGGGAGCAAACAGGAUUAGAUACCCUGGUAGUCCACGCCGUAAACGAUGUCUACUUGGAGGUUGUGCCCUUGAGGCGUGGCUUCCGGAGCUAACGCGUUAAGUAGACCGCCUGGGGAGUACGGCCGCAAGGUUAAAACUCAAAUGAAUUGACGGGGGCCCGCACAAGCGGUGGAGCAUGUGGUUUAAUUCGAUGCAACGCGAAGAACCUUACCUGGUCUUGACAUCCACGGAAGUUUUCAGAGAUGAGAAUGUGCCUUCGGGAACCGUGAGACAGGUGCUGCAUGGCUGUCGUCAGCUCGUGUUGUGAAAUGUUGGGUUAAGUCCCGCAACGAGCGCAACCCUUAUCCUUUGUUGCCAGCGGUCAGGCCGGGAACUCAAAGGAGACUGCCAGUGAUAAACUGGAGGAAGGUGGGGAUGACGUCAAGUCAUCAUGGCCCUUACGACCAGGGCUACACACGUGCUACAAUGGCGCAUACAAAGAGAAGCGACCUCGCGAGAGCAAGCGGACCUCAUAAAGUGCGUCGUAGUCCGGAUUGGAGUCUGCAACUCGACUCCAUGAAGUCGGAAUCGCUAGUAAUCGUGGAUCAGAAUGCCACGGUGAAUACGUUCCCGGGCCUUGUACACACCGCCCGUCACACCAUGGGAGUGGGUUGCAAAAGAAGUAGGUAGCUUAACCUUCGGGAGGGCGCUUACCACUUUGUGAUUCAUGACUGGGGUGAAGUCGUAACAAGGUAACCGUAGGGGAACCUGCGGUUGGAUCACCUCCUUACCUGAAAGAAGC